RNAcentral lists this long non-coding RNA (252 nucleotides) under Lathyrus oleraceus (garden pea). RNAcentral's name for it is "Pisum sativum (pea) long non-coding RNA (PSAT_LNC032147)". Lineage: Eukaryota; Viridiplantae; Streptophyta; Magnoliopsida; Fabales; Fabaceae. The record is from RNAcentral.
UGUAUGCAAUUUGCGGAAUAGGCAAUAUAUGUAAUAAAGAAGAAUAGAUUUUAAUAGAAAAUGUAUGUAAUAGACAAUCAAUUCCAGUAAUAGACAAUGUAUGAAAGAAGAACCUGGAGUGGAGGCUGAAAGAGAUUCACCGCUAGCAAGACGACGACAAUGUGAAAAAGAUUUCUGCAACACUACUGAUAUUGUGAGAGAAAUUUAGGUCUUUUACUCAUUUGUAGUUUUUUAAUGGAUAUUAUUAUUGAG